UCCUUCAUAGCUCAGUUGGUAAAGAGUCUGCCUGCAAUGCAGGAGACCCUGGUUCGAUUCCUGGGUCGGGAA
Molecule: transfer RNA, 72 nt
Filed under: Bos taurus (domestic cattle)
Lineage: Eukaryota; Metazoa; Chordata; Mammalia; Artiodactyla; Bovidae
Also listed under: 6 other names
Rfam family: tRNA
About the family: Transfer RNA (tRNA) molecules are approximately 80 nucleotides in length.
Source: Rfam by way of RNAcentral